CACAGGCAUACCUUGGAGAAUUUUGGUUUCCAGACCACCACGAUAAAAAUGACGCUGUGUGCGGAGGGAGCUAAUGACCAGGACAGCACCGGGGGCUGAUCACGGGAAAAGAGAAAGAGCAAAUCACUUCACAGCAAAAUGUAACCGCACGGAAUUAAAAAAUGGACGUGGAAGCUCCUGGAACCAGUCAUUUAUCACAAAGUGAACAAUGUCAAUUUUUGAACAUACAAUCACUUUUCUUCAUACUUAA
Long non-coding RNA from Zalophus californianus (California sea lion), 250 nucleotides. RefSeq lists it as uncharacterized. The record is from RefSeq and is a predicted model, not a curated record. Lineage: Eukaryota; Metazoa; Chordata; Mammalia; Carnivora; Otariidae. The transcript is spliced from 3 exons.